This 1257-nucleotide long non-coding RNA is filed under the name Gallus gallus (chicken). RNAcentral's name for it is "lncRNA (ENSGALG00010003951.1)". The record is from RNAcentral. Lineage: Eukaryota; Metazoa; Chordata; Aves; Galliformes; Phasianidae.
GCUGCUUUUGUCUCAGCAAACCAAACUUUAUAAGGACAUAUUCAUUGCUCCUGCAAUAUCUAAUUAACACUAGAGGUAGAAAAGUCGGGGGAGCAAAUCUCCUGAGGAGCAAAGACCAUUAUUUUCUGAUGCCAUGGAAGAUACCACCAAGUACAUCAGAAUAGGUUAUUGCAAGCGGCAGAAGACUACUGAUGCCAGGAGCCUAAAAAUGCAGCUUUCAACUAAUUUCUGAAUAUGCAGAAGGUGAAACCUGGUUGUAUUAAUUGUUACUUCUUGUAGUUACUGAUUUAUUAUAUAAAUGCUACUGAAGGGCCUCUAUUCACAGUGCUGUAACCUAUGGUAUUCCUAAUUCUUGUGCUUGAUGUGAAAUCUGUCCCCUCCUUUUUUCCUCUAGCAUGACUGAGUGAUGCAAGGAGGGGUUAGUUGCAAAUGAGAGACACAAAGUUGGCUCUAAAGAAAACCCAGCAGUGAUAUGGAGAGAUGCUUUUGGGAAGAGAUCCUCAUCAAGACCUUUGCAGCCAUUAGGAUGUGAUGGAGAAAAGCAAAGGCAAAAGGAGAAAGUUUUCUUCCAGGGGGAACUAGAGAAAGGGAACAAAAGUUGAGUAAGUGGCCAAAAAGCAGCUUAUUUCCAUGCUAGUGUUGAACCUUGGUUGUACUGAGCUAGAUGUUGAGAUGCAUCCCAAGCCGUUUUGACCCAAAUUCCAUGUCUCUGCAUUGAGCAGAGUAGGGGAGCAGGCCAUUUUGUCUUCAUUUGCUCAGCAGGAGAGAAUCAGAUUUACCAAAAAGAAAUCCCUGCUUAAGUGUUUGAGUGCUACUGCUAACAGCAAAAUGAAGUUGCAACUACAGCUGUAUUUCAAAUUUAGAUAGGAUUAGAGCUUCUUUAUGUUUUUUUUUUUUAUUUGUAAAAUCAGGAAACAAAGCUUUCACCUGCAGUAUCUAUAGCUCUGCUGUACCAUACAUGCGCCCUUAUAGUAAGAUUUGCUUUGGAAAAUAACUAUAGUCUAUUUAUGCAUAUGCUCAGCAACCCGUACUCAAAUUUAUGAAUUUUCUGAAGCACGUUGCUGGAUUGAGUCAACUAAUGCCAAGAAAUCCAACUGGUACGGGAGAGAUACAGUUUUCAAGCUGAAGAAUUGAUCUAUUUUCUAAUGGCUACUCUUGGACUGGUUUUUACCCUCUAGCACUGUCAGGUGUUCUGCUGACUGCCAGCAAUCUAUUUAUUGAUACAGGAAAUCCAUUUUGCCUUGCCUUGCUUUUAAU